RNAcentral lists this ribosomal RNA (252 nucleotides) under uncultured bacterium. RNAcentral's name for it is "partial 16S ribosomal RNA". It matches the Rfam family "Bacterial small subunit ribosomal RNA", at positions 525 to 776 of the family's 1533-position model. The record is from RNAcentral.
ACGGAGGGGGCAAGCGUUAUUCGGAAUUAUUGGGCGUAAAGCGCGCGCAGGCGGCUUGACAAGUCAUAGGUGAAAUCCCUCGGCUCAACCGAGGAACUGCCUAUGAAACUGUCUGGCUUGAGGUCGGGAGGGGGUGGCGGAAUUCCCAGUGUAGCGGUGAAAUGCGUAGAUACUGGGAGGAACACCGGUGGCGAAGGCGGCCACCUGGACCGAUACUGACGCUGAGGCGCGAAAGCGUGGGGAGCAAACAGG